Molecule: long non-coding RNA, 1234 nt
Organism: Rhopalosiphum padi (bird cherry-oat aphid)
Lineage: Eukaryota; Metazoa; Arthropoda; Insecta; Hemiptera; Aphididae
Exons: 4
Source: RefSeq, a predicted model, not a curated record
GUCGCAGUCGCCAGCAUUCUUUCGAUCAGAUACUGGUUUCCGCCCAAAUUUUCUAUAACCUGUAUUGUAAUCGGUGUAACCGGUGAACCUCAGUGUACAAGUUGAAUGUUUAGCUGUACAGUCGUCAACGUUGCGCACCGUAGUGCGAGUUAAUACUGCUCUUGUAUACUCUGCCACUUAGAGCACAUCUUUCCCGUAGACUAGGUAGAUUCGAGGAGAUGAUCGCUGCAGAGGAUAAAGGGAUCGGCUGAUUUUGGACAUGACAAGAAUAACGUUUAUCGCACAUUUUGGUCCGUACACAACUCACAAUACUAAAAUAACAAUGGUGAUGAUGAAUGAUAUGUAAUAAUAUCAUAUUUAUUAUAUACGGCAAUACGCGGAAAAGGAUGUUAUGUAUGAAUUAACAAUGACGACUAUAUUUAUCUGCAUCCCUUUACGUCCACUUGGAAGCUUAUAACAAAUGAUUCAGAAACGUUAAUUUCGCCCUGAUGAGUGAAGGCCGGAGUUACACAGGAAAUUAUGUCUAUCCGGUAUAUGAAAAAUGAUCAUUAUUAGUAAGUUGUCAUGUGGAGUUUCGUGAUCUGUUGAUAAAGCAUAUUAAUAUCAAGCUCAACAAUCACAACUGCCAUUGAAACUCUAUAGCACCACCUUUACACCACCGAACCAAAUGCUGGUGAUGUCAAACAGAAUGUAUCAGAAGAUAUUAUGGAAAUGUUCUUUCCUAAAAAAAAUAUAUAAUUCAUUCGCGGAUCUCGUGGAGCUAUCAUAAUAUCUAUGAAGCGGAUAUGCAGUUACAUUUGGUUUCUUGUCGGUAUCAUCCAUUGACUCACUUUUCUAGCAUUUCUCGGCUAUGGUUGCCAAAAUGUUCAUGUAUAAUUUACACGAUAGUUCGUCGUUUUCUGUGUAGCUCUCGUCGUCACUUGUCAGGGCGCCGUUAAUGAUUUUGAUUAUUCUGUUGUAAGCAGCCAAGUUGACGUAGACGGUUACAGAAUGUCGUCAUCGUUGGUUCGUAUAUAAUAUUAUUUUCCACGUACUUGUACUAUCAUCGUCAAAUAUUGUAAACAUUUGUAUUUCUUAAAAUAGUUUCACCGUUAUUAUUGUCGAUUUAAUAUAAUUAUAUUAAGUGGUCCUUUAAUUUUAUAAAAUCAAAAUUUUGAUGAAUUUAGUUUAUACUUAAAUAUUAACUGAUCAAGUUCAACACAUUCACUUUGCAGACAGUAAUAUACAUUAUUGU